CCCUUAGAUGUCCUGGGCCGCACGCGCGCUACACUGAUGCAUGCAACGAGUAUAUAACCUUGGCCUGAAAGGCCUGGGUAAUCUUUUGAACGUGCAUCGUGAUAGGGAUAGAUUAUUGCAAUUAUUAAUCUUGAACGAGGAAUGCCUAGUAAACGCAAGUCAUCAGCUUGCAUUGAUUACGUCCCUGCCCUUUGUACACACCGCCCGUCGCUCCUACCGAUUGAAUGAUCCGAUGAAUACCAUGGAUUGAGAGUACGAAUAGGUUCGCUUAUUUCUGCUGCUCGAGAAGUGGAGUAAAUCUUAUCAUUUAGAGGAAGGAGAAGUCGUAACA
This 331-nucleotide ribosomal RNA is filed under the name uncultured eukaryote. Its description in RNAcentral is "partial 18S ribosomal RNA". It matches the Rfam family "Eukaryotic small subunit ribosomal RNA", at positions 1470 to 1796 of the family's 1831-position model. The record is from RNAcentral.